GCCUUCAGAGCUUCCGCUGCCCUGAUGUCCUCAACCCGGUGGAUCCAUUCCUCCCUUGUCGGGAUGUCUGGUUUCUUCCAGUAUACCGGUAUGAGCGAUUUGGCCGCAUUCAAUAGGUGACGCAUGAUAGAUUUUUUGUAUGUGGAUAGUGGUCGCUUGGAUAUGUGUAGCAAGGCUAGUUCCUCUGACCAUUCAAGGUCAUCUCCCAGGAUCAGUUGAAUGUCUGAUUUGAUCCGGUCCCAGUAUGGGGCAAUGUGUUUACAUUCCCACCAUAUGUGGUGCAUGUUCCCCCUAUCCUCCUGGCAUCUCCAACACGUUGGUGGUGUAGUGGGGAAGAUCCUAUGUAACAGUACAGGUGUUCGAUACCACAUAGAAAGCAACUUGUAGUUCACCUCUUGAUAGUGAGAGCUGGAGGAGCUUUUGUGCUGCCAGAGCAAGGCCUUGUCCCAUUGUGCUGUUGUGAAGGACUUAGCCAUGGCUCGUUCCCAGUGUCGUUUGAAGAGGUUGUUUUCCGAGGUGGGGCUGGUCAGUAUGUAUUGGUAGAGGUUCGAGAUUGCUUUCCCUAAUGACGUGCCCCUGGAGCAGAGUUGCUCGUACCAUGUGAGGUCUCUUUGCAGCUUUUCUUUGUGCGGGAGUGUGUUGAAAUAAUGUUUCAGUUGCAUGUAUCGAAAAACCGCCAUAUGUGAGCGCGGUCUUGAUUCCAGUAGCGCGUCCAGAGUCCGCAGGGCGCCAUCCCGAAUGACCUUAUGUAUUGGGAUGUAUCCUGCUUCGCCCAAGAAUGACCAGGCAUCUGGCGGUAGGCCGCCUCCUAUACUGGGGUUAUGAGCGAUCGGUAGCAAUGGGCAAGGAGUUGGGGAGAUUUGUGGUGUUUCCCUGAGUUGUUCCCAUGUGAGGAGUGUUUGUGUAACUGGGUCAUCGUCCCCUCUUCUGUUGCCUCUCGUUGCCCGCCUUUUCCAAAUUGCAGCCUUCAGUUUUGCACUGUCUCCUUCUUGAUCUAGGAUCACCCAUUGUUUGGUCGUCUCUAAUUCGUGCCACUCCAGAAUCCGUUGUAGCGUCGCUGCUUGGUGGUAUUUUUUAAAAUCGGGUAGGGCUAAACCCCCCCUAUGUCUGGGCAUGCACAGUAUUUCAUGUCGUAUCCUGGAUCUUUCUCCCCUCCAUACAUACCUGAUCACUUCUGAUUUCAGAGUUG
This is a non-coding RNA of Pelobates cultripes (western spadefoot toad), 1189 nucleotides long. Lineage: Eukaryota; Metazoa; Chordata; Amphibia; Anura; Pelobatidae. The record is from the annotation of a GenBank genome assembly.